GACGAACGCUGGCGGCGUGCUUAACACAUGCAAGUCGAACGGAAAGGCCCUGCUUUUGUGGGGUGCUCGAGUGGCGAACGGGUGAGUAACACGUGAGUAACCUGCCCUUGACUUUGGGAUAACUUCAGGAAACUGGGGCUAAUAUCGGAUAGGAGCUCCUGCUGCAUGGUGGGGGUUGGAAAGUUUCGGCGGUUGGGGAUGGACUCGCGGCUUAUCAGCUUGUUGGUGGGGUAGUGGCUUACCAAGGCUUUGACGGGUAGCCGGCCUGAGAGGGUGACCGGGCACAUUGGGACUGGGAUACGGCCCAGACUCCUACGGGAGGCAGCAGUGGGGAAUAUUGCACAAUGGGCGGAAGCCUGAUGCAGCAACGCCGCGUGCGGGAUGACGGCCUUCGGGUUGUAAACCGCUUUCGCCUGUGACGAAGCGUGAGUGACGGUAAUGGGUAAAGAAGCACCGGCUAACUACGUG
RNAcentral lists this ribosomal RNA (468 nucleotides) under uncultured bacterium. Its description in RNAcentral is "partial 16S ribosomal RNA". It matches the Rfam family "Bacterial small subunit ribosomal RNA", at positions 28 to 507 of the family's 1533-position model. The record is from RNAcentral.